UACAGUAAUAUGCAAGUGUUAAUAUAUUGACAGGAAAAUCAAUACAAAAUCUUGAGCAAGGAAGAGAGGUCCUAAAAAAAGGAACACCAUGAUGGUCCGUUGCCUAGAGAGUUUGCAUGUUCCUUGCAAUACAAAGAGGGAAAGUUAUGUUUGUCACAACAGAAUUCACAGAAACUUGCGAAGUUGAGGUCGUACCAGCUAAUUGGUUGGUGGAGGGAGGAAGUCAAUGCAACUGGCCACCAUUUAAAUCUGCAGCCAGGACAGUGCAGACACGUAGACCUGCUUUCCCCACCUGGCCAUUGUAUCCUGUUAGGGUCAUUUUCAAAACAGAUAUGUAUGCAGAGGCCAGAGCCAAAUUUAAAAAAUCGGCGGCUACUUCUGACUUGCAGUCAGAUGAGGAGACAAGCCAGAAGAGAAAAAUAAGAUCAACCCAGAAGUAUGCUUCAUCAUCAUUCAUCUGAGGAGGGUCUCCAAAUCAACCAAAUAGACAACUGCUAACUCAACUCGCAUCUCCACCUGUGCCACCUGUACUUCAAACUCCAGCAAUUACAAUUCCAUUAACCCCCUUGCGGAGUCCCUCCCCAACAACACUGCUGACAUCCAACCAGCCAAGAAUGGGAGCUGUAAGAAGAAAUCAUUUUACCAAGCAAGUGACAGAAGAUGGCUUUGGUAUGGCAGCUGUGCUACGCUAAGGAUAGAAAUGGAGGGAGGCAGCGCAGAUCUGAAGCUACGACAGCCAGAAGCCGAGGAGAUGGGUUUCAGUCUUAAUAUAAAGGGGGUGGGGGGGUGCAGACUUUUAUAAAAAUAAAUAAAUAAAUAAAUAAAUCUGAUUUAAAUUUACGUUUUUUUUGGAGGGUCACAAAAUGUUUGACAGCUUAUAUUGCCUUAAAGACUGCAGAUAGUCGUAUUAACUAUUUAACAUAUAGAAAGCCCUUUCUAAAAAAAAAAAAAAAAAAAAAAAAAGGCAAAUGGUGUUGUAUCUCCUUAAACAGUUAAUAAACUUAAUGUUGAACACAUAAGAAACCAAGUAACGCUAUCCAAAUAAAUGUCCUUGUGUUUGACCUCACUAAAUGAUGGUAUAUUCCCUUACUGUGUGCUUUUUGGGCAUAGUUAAUAUUAAAAUAAUUGGUCUGACUAAUUCUGUUUAAACCCUUAGUGUUAUUAAACUUGUUAAACUAUUGUGAAG
Molecule: long non-coding RNA, 1186 nt
Organism: Polyodon spathula (Mississippi paddlefish)
Lineage: Eukaryota; Metazoa; Chordata; Actinopteri; Acipenseriformes; Polyodontidae
Exons: 5
Source: RefSeq, a predicted model, not a curated record